This 974-nucleotide ribosomal RNA is filed under the name human gut metagenome. Its description in RNAcentral is "bacterial LSU rRNA". It matches the Rfam family "Bacterial large subunit ribosomal RNA", at positions 1957 to 2925 of the family's 2925-position model. The record is from RNAcentral.
UAGCGAAAUUCCUUGUCGGGUAAGUUCCGACCUGCACGAAUGGCGUAAUGAUGGCCAGGCUGUCUCCACCCGAGACUCAGUGAAAUUGAACUCGCUGUGAAGAUGCAGUGUACCCGCGGCAAGACGGAAAGACCCCGUGAACCUUUACUAUAGCUUGACACUGAACAUUGAGCCUUGAUGUGUAGGAUAGGUGGGAGGCUUUGAAGUGUGGACGCCAGUCUGCAUGGAGCCGACCUUGAAAUACCACCCUUUAAUGUUUGAUGUUCUAACGUUGGCCCGUAAUCCGGGUUGCGGACAGUGUCUGGUGGGUAGUUUGACUGGGGCGGUCUCCUCCUAAAGAGUAACGGAGGAGCACGAAGGUUGGCUAAUCCUGGUCGGACAUCAGGAGGUUAGUGCAAUGGCAUAAGCCAGCUUGACUGCGAGCGUGACGGCGCGAGCAGGUGCGAAAGCAGGUCAUAGUGAUCCGGUGGUUCUGAAUGGAAGGGCCAUCGCUCAACGGAUAAAAGGUACUCCGGGGAUAACAGGCUGAUACCGCCCAAGAGUUCAUAUCGACGGCGGUGUUUGGCACCUCGAUGUCGGCUCAUCACAUCCUGGGGCUGAAGUAGGUCCCAAGGGUAUGGCUGUUCGCCAUUUAAAGUGGUACGCGAGCUGGGUUUAGAACGUCGUGAGACAGUUCGGUCCCUAUCUGCCGUGGGCGCUGGAGAACUGAGGGGGGCUGCUCCUAGUACGAGAGGACCGGAGUGGACGCAUCACUGGUGUUCGGGUUGUCAUGCCAAUGGCACUGCCCGGUAGCUAAAUGCGGAAGAGAUAAGUGCUGAAAGCAUCUAAGCACGAAACUUGCCCCGAGAUGAGUUCUCCCUGACUCCUUGAGGGUCCUGAAGGAACGUUGAAGACGACGACGUUGAUAGGCCGGGUGUGUAAGCGCAGCGAUGCGUUGAGCUAACCGGUACUAAUGAACCGUGAGGCUUAACCUU